CCAGACUCCUACGGGAGGCAGCAGUGGGGAAUAUUGCACAAUGGGGGAAACCCUGAUGCAGCGACGCCGCGUGGGUGAAGAAGUAUUUCGGUAUGUAAAGCCCUAUCAGCAGGGAAGAAAGAAGACGGUACCUGACUAAGAAGCCCCGGCUAACUACGUGCCAGCAGCCGCGGUAAUACGUAGGGGGCGAGCGUUAUCCGGAUUCACUGGGUGUAAAGGGAGCGUAGACGGCCGUGCAAGCCAGGAGUGAAAGGCGGGGGCCCAACCCCCGGACUGCUCUGGAAACUGUAUGGCUGGAGUGCAGGAGAGGUAAGCGGAAUUCCUAGUGUAGCGGUGAAAUGCGUAGAUAUUAGGAGGAACACCAGUGGCGAAGGCGGCUUACUGGACUGUAACUGACGUUGAGGCUCGAAAGCGUGGGGAGCAAACAGGAUUAGAUACCCGGGUAG
RNAcentral lists this ribosomal RNA (446 nucleotides) under uncultured bacterium. RNAcentral's name for it is "bacterial SSU rRNA". It matches the Rfam family "Bacterial small subunit ribosomal RNA", at positions 331 to 793 of the family's 1533-position model. The record is from RNAcentral.